GUCGAGCGAGAACGCAACUUCGGUUGCUAGUACAGCGGCGAACGGGUGUGUAACACGUGAGAAUCUACCCAUUAGUGAUGGAUACCUUCAGGAAACUGAAGUUAAUACAGCAUACGACCCUUCGGGGAGAAAGGAGGCCUCUUUGCUUCCGCUGAUGGAUGAGCUCGCGGCCUAUUAGUUUGUUGGUGGGGUAAUGGCCUACCAAGACGAUGAUGGGUAGCCGGCCUGAGAGGGUGAUCGGCCACAUUGGGACUGAGAUACGGCCCAGACUCCUACGGGAGGCAGCAGUGAGGAAUUUUGCGCAAUGGACGAAAGUCUGACGCAGCGACGUCGCGUGGAGGAUGAAGGUUUUCGGAUCGUAAACUCCUGUUAAGUGGGAAGAAAAGCACGCGGUUAAUACCCGUGUGUCAUGACUGUACCACUAGAGAAAGCACCGGCUAACUUCGUGCCAGCAGCCGCGGUAAUACGAGGGGUGCAAGCGUUAUUCGGAAUUACUGGGCGUAAAGGGCGUGUAGGCGGCCUACUAAGUCAGUUGUUAAAUCCCUCAGCCUAACUGAGGACUCGCGAUUGAUACUGGUAUGGCUAGAGUGCAGGAGAGAGAGGUGGAAUUAUCG
RNAcentral lists this ribosomal RNA (614 nucleotides) under uncultured bacterium. RNAcentral describes it as "bacterial SSU rRNA". It matches the Rfam family "Bacterial small subunit ribosomal RNA", at positions 61 to 672 of the family's 1533-position model. The record is from RNAcentral.